Myotis lucifugus (little brown bat) is the source of this 76-nucleotide non-coding RNA. Lineage: Eukaryota; Metazoa; Chordata; Mammalia; Chiroptera; Vespertilionidae. The record is from Rfam.
GGCAGUUCUUGGGUGACCCACCCCAGAAUUGGGCUCCCUCCUCUCUGGUUUUGGGGUGUGUCACCUGAGAACCACA